GACGAACGCUGGCGGCGUGCUUAACACAUGCAAGUCGAACGGAAAGGCCCUGCUUUUGUGGGGUGCUCGAGUGGCGAACGGGUGAGUAACACGUGAGUAACCUGCCCUUGACUUUGGGAUAACUUCAGGAAACUGGGGCUAAUACCGGAUAUGAGCUCCUGCUGCAUGGUGGGGGUUGGAAAGUUUCUGCGGUUGGGGAUGGACUCGCGGCUUAUCAGCUUGUUGGUGGGGUAGUGGCUUACCAAGGCUCUGACGGGUAGCCGGCCUGAGAGGGUGACCGGCCACAUUGGGACUGAGAUACGGCCCAGACUCCUACGGGAGGCAGCAGUGGGGAAUAUUGCACAAUGGGCGGAAGCCUGAUGCAGCGACGCCGCGUGCGGGAUGACGGCCUUCGGGUUGUAAACCGCUUUCACCAGUGACGAAGCGUAAGUGACGGUAAUGGGUGAAGAAGCACCGGCUAACUACGUG
Molecule: ribosomal RNA, 468 nt
Filed under: uncultured bacterium
Lineage: Bacteria
Description: partial 16S ribosomal RNA
Rfam family: Bacterial small subunit ribosomal RNA
Source: RNAcentral